AGUCAUGUCAAGGGGCCAUUUACAAAACUGCCUAGGAAACCAGCAUAACUUUGACCGAUACAUGAUGGUAGCUGCUAAAAGUCUAGAUGUCUAUUAUGCUCUUAGUUAAUACACGUUUGUCGUUUUGUGAAUAUUACGUCUUAGGAACGAAUAUGUAUGUUUGUAUAUAGGCAUGUUACAUAUAUGAACUUACAUAAUAAUCUCAUUGUGUCGAGUUAAAAUUACGCUAUUUAACAGCACGUAUUAUCGGUUUUCCUUAGUCGCGUCCGAAUUUUGAUUGACUUCGCUAGUUCUUGCCGCACAGUGUUUGAUGUAUGAUAUAGUUUGAUAUGACAACUAUAUUCAUUAAAAUAUCAAGAUGAACCUCCACCAUGUCACGCUAUUCAUGACACUCCGCGUGAUCCACACGCAAGCCCAGUUCCCAAUGCAGUUCCCUUCAGCAAUGCCCAUGCCAAUGGGCAUGCCACCCAUGCCAAUGCAAAUGCCAAUCGUCGGCCCGCCACAACUGCCAAGCGUUGUAAUGCCAUACCAUUCCCGCACAGCCGAUAAAUUUAGAGAGAAACCAAGGAAGCCAAAAAGGUCAAAGAAACCGAAAAAGAAAAGACCAAAAAAGAAACGUUACGAAUCGGAAUCCGAUUCAGACAGUUCUGAUGAUAGUCGAUCUACGUCUGGGUCUGAAAGUCUUGAAAUUAAUCUAACCCGUAGAUCUAAAGAUCACAAGAGAAGACGUGAGGUCCUCACGCCUGUGGUGUCUUACGUGACCAAUGAUGGAUAUGUGAUAUAUCAGAAAAAGAUAAAGAAGGAUCGGGCUAAGGACUGGUUGGAGUUGGGAAAGAAAUCGGAUCCUAAUGCGCUGGAAAUCAAUGAUAAUGAGAGUGAUGAGGUUGAGGGGAAGGAUUCGGUUCGGAAGCGUCGUUUCGAGUCUCGUCGUUCGCAGCGUGGCGAUUGAGUACAGGCUACAAUUUACCUACUAAGGCUUAUUUCUUUCCACUAAGGCGGAGAGAGGAGACGUGAGGGAAUCAACCGAUAGCAUUGGUUGUAAUGUAAUCCACAUCUUUUCCUCCGCUCCGCUGGUAUGAAACUAAUGAUGUUGGUUGAGUGCCGCACAUCUCUCAUCUCUACCUCAGUGGAACGCAGCAUGAUAACUAUUAAAAGCUAUUAGUGUAAAUAAAUUGAUAAAAACGUACGUUAAUGUAAAUUUGUAAUAUUUGUAUAAAAUAUGAUUGUUUCAGAUGUGUUUUAAUUGAAGUAACCUCUUCCAUUUUAGUAUUUAAUCUACUACAUAAUCAUUCCGAGUAAAAUAAAUCACAGGGCAAGGAAGUUUGAUAAAAAUUCAAAAAAAAAUUUGGGUAUCGCCCAAGGAAAAAGGACUUUAAAAAACUUCUACGAGAAGUGCAAAAUACAAACGAGUUGGGAAAACCUUUCGAUAUUUUCGACCAAAGGUGCAGUCGUUCUCAGGGGCGUAUUUACCCUAGGACCAUCCGGGCCAUGGCCCGGGGCGCCAACCUCCAGGGGCGACAUAUGUCAACCCCCAGGGGCGGCAUAUGCCGCCCCUGGCGGAAUGCAUUUUGUUUUUCUUCCUUGAAUUCUGGGGCGGCGAUACGUAUUGGCCCGGGGCGACAAAUUUCAAAAUACGGCCCUGGUCGUUCUGAUUCUUAUUGCCCAUACGACUUACAUAAAUAUCUAGUGUAUGCGCCUUUGUGUGAUUUAUGACCUAUAUGAAUUGUGUUAAUUUGUGUUACGUAAAACCUGCGAUUUUCUUCUCAGCAUGGGUUUAAGCGCAGUCUUUGUUCGUUGAAGUCUAACAACACACCUGCAGGGAGCCUGCAGGUAAACUUGCAUUAAUUGAUUUACCUACUAACGUAUAUUUAUUAGAAAUUGUAAAAUUAAAGUUGAGUUAAUCUACAGCGGCACAUAGAUAUUAGGAACAUAGAAUAUUCAUCUAUUAAUUAUUUAAUUGAUCCACCCAGGUGGCCAUAUAUUAAACCCGGGUCCAAGGGCCUAGCCAAGAAGACAUUAAUCGUUUACGUCGUAGCGAACGAAACGCCUCUCUCUCCCUAUCGCACUAAUAUGGAAGAGUGAUAGAGUCUUGGCUUGGCGCCAGAUAUGUGUAGACUAUGUUUCGUAUACUUCUUACUAUCACAACGACGGGGGCAGUCUUCACCGGCGCUCAGCAUUGGCCGUAUGUUCAGCAACAGAACUAUGCUGCAAUGCCACAAACUCCAUAUUACCCGUUCCAGCAAGGUCAGCCAUAUCCAGGCAUGCUAUUACCGUAUGGGCAAGAGUGGAUGCAAGCCAGUCCACAAAAACCACCUUGGCCCUUUAGACCAGGGUAUCUGUACGGUCCGCCGGGACAUAGGGCUCCUUUAUUUUUUGCUUCGUAGAUUAGGAAUUUUAUACGCAAUUUGUAGUUUUGGUACUUUUUCGAUGAAAAUAAAUACUAUAAUAUUAAGUUGAAUGACAGUUAAUCUUUGAAUAAUAAAAUUAUGCUUUCAAAAAUAUGUUUUAAAUAGAAAAAUACAGCUGGUUUCUGUUAUAUUGUCUAUGAUUAUUGUCUAUGGUAAGUACAGAAAUGUUGCCAGAAGAUAAAAUAAACGGAUGUUUUACAAAAAUCUGUAAUGGAGAAAGAGUUAUUGUACUAAAGAAUUUUUAAUAAAUAUUACGAAUAGAGUGAUAUUACUUACUAUCUGUUUGUAAUG
Molecule: long non-coding RNA, 2699 nt
Organism: Cydia splendana
Lineage: Eukaryota; Metazoa; Arthropoda; Insecta; Lepidoptera; Tortricidae
Exons: 3
Source: RefSeq, a predicted model, not a curated record